UACGUAGGGGGCAAGCGUUGUCCGGAAUUAUUGGGCGUAAAGGGCUCGUAGGCGGUUUCUUAAGUCUGAUGUGAAAGCCCACAGCUCAACUGUGGAGGGUCAUUGGAAACUGGGGAACUUGAGUGCAGAAGAGGAGAGUGGAAUUCCACGUGUAGCGGUGAAAUGCGUAGAUAUCGUAAGGAAGACCAGUGGCGAAGGCGAAUCUCUGGACAGUUACUGACACUGAGGCCCGAAGGCCAGGGGAGCAAACGGG
Molecule: ribosomal RNA, 253 nt
Filed under: uncultured bacterium
Lineage: Bacteria
Description: partial 16S ribosomal RNA
Rfam family: Bacterial small subunit ribosomal RNA
Source: RNAcentral